AGUAAAGUCGUAACAAGUUUCCGUAGGUGAACUGCGGAAGGAUCAUUAAUAAAUUUUUUUAGGUUGAAAUACGAAACCUAUAAAUAUAAUAUCCUACCUUUGUGAAUUUGUUGUUUGAAAUAAUUUUUAAAAAAUUAUUUAUAUUUUGUCUAUCCUGAGUUGUAAGAAAGUAAAUUCUUUGAAAGCUUAGGAAUAGGCUUUAUCUAUAAAUAAUGAUUUUAAAGACCUUUUUUAAAUUAAACUUUUUGUAUCAUUUGUCUAAAUUAUUUUAAUAAUUUAAAAACAACUUUGACAUGAUCUCUUGGUUUCGCAACGAUGAAGAACCAGCAAAAUGCAUAAGUAAUGUGAAUUGCAGAAUACGUGAAUCACCAAAUCUUCGAACGCAUAUUGACUUUUUAGUUUACUAAAAAGUAUGUCUGUCUGAGUAUCAGUAAAAUAUUCUCAUAAAAAUUUAUUUUUAUGGUUUUGAGUGUUUACAACGAUACAGUUGUUUCACUUUAAAUGACUUUUAAUUGCCUAUUAAUUAGUCAAUUUUUAAAAUUGCAUAAAAUUUUCCCGUAAAAAGGAAUAACCUAUCAAUUUUAAAAUUAACUGAUAUUAAAACCUUGAUAAAAGAAUUUAAUUAAAUAACUUGAUCUCAAAUCAGAUAAGAUACCCGCUGAACUUAAGCAUAUCAAUAAGCGAGGAAAAGAAACUAACAAGGAUCCCUAGUAACGGCGAGUGAACGGGAAGAGCUCAAAUUUGAAAUCUUCAAGUUGACCUUGACGAAUUGUAGUUAAAAAGUGUUUCGGUUAGAGGAGUGGUAAAAGUUCUUUGGAAUAGACAUCAUAGAGGUGAGAAUCCGUAUUUGACCAUUCUUUCUAGCUUUGUGAACACUUUCAAAGAGUCGGAUUGUUUGGAAUGCAGUCCAAAAUGGGUGGUAAAUUCAUCUAAAGCUAAUAUUGGCGAGAGACCGAUAGCGAACAAGUACCGUGAGGGAAAGAUGAAAAGAACUUUGAAAAGAGAGUUAAACAGUACGUGAAUUGUCAAAAGGAAGCGUUUGACACCAGUGUUGUUUUCCGAAAUCAAUUAAAAAUGGAUUCAUGCCAAGUUGUAUGACCUUAUCAGCUGCAUUUGGUUUGGUUCUUUUUUGAUGCACUUUUCGGUUAACAAGUCAACAUCAAUUUCCUUGCUGUAAAAGGGCAGAAGAAGGUGGCUUCAAUUUCGGUGAAGUGUUAUAGCUUUUGUCUCUGCAGUCGGGGAGAUUGAGUCUGCAGCGUAGAUCCUUCGGGGUUAAUACAUUCGUGCUAAGUUAUAGCCUUUUAUAGACAACUUGUGACUAUGAUCGGUCUUGUAAUUUACUCGCGGUGCUAUUUUACCUACGCUUAGGAUGUUGA
This 1376-nucleotide unclassified non-coding RNA is filed under the name uncultured Neocallimastigales. Its description in RNAcentral is "partial contains small subunit ribosomal RNA, internal transcribed spacer 1, 5.8S ribosomal RNA, internal transcribed spacer 2, and large subunit ribosomal RNA". The stretch from base 633 to 1376 matches the Rfam family "Eukaryotic large subunit ribosomal RNA", at positions 1 to 629 of the family's 3401-position model. Lineage: Eukaryota; Fungi; Neocallimastigomycota; Neocallimastigomycetes; Neocallimastigales. The record is from RNAcentral.